UCAACUGAGGAUCAGGUACAUUUUAUUUUCUAGUUCUUGGAUGCUCCACCCCUUUCUGAUGCUGCCCUGAGCAACUGCCCAUAUCAAAACCCACCAAUAAAAAGUUUUAUCUUC
Long non-coding RNA from Poecilia latipinna (sailfin molly), 114 nucleotides. RefSeq lists it as uncharacterized. The transcript has 3 exons. The record is from RefSeq and is a predicted model, not a curated record. NCBI's taxonomy places the organism in Eukaryota, Metazoa, Chordata, Actinopteri, Cyprinodontiformes, Poeciliidae.